GAUGAACGCUGGCGGCGUGCUUAACACAUGCAAGUCGAACGAUGAAGCCCAGCUUGCUGGGUGGAUUAGUGGCGAACGGGUGAGUAACACGUGAGUAACCUGCCCUUAACUCUGGGAUAAGCCUGGGAAACUGGGUCUAAUACCGGAUAGGAGCGUCCAUCGCAUGGUGGGUGUUGGAAAGAUUUAUCGGUUUUGGAUGGACUCGCGGCCUAUCAGCUUGUUGGUGAGGUAAUGGCUCACCAAGGCGACGACGGGUAGCCGGCCUGAGAGGGUGACCGGCCACGCUGUGUGACAAACAGGGCCCCGACUGCUGCGGGGGGCGGGCGUGGGGAAUAUCGCAAAGGGGGGCCCAGCCGGCGGCGGCGCGGCGGCGUGUUGCAGGACGGCCUUCGGUGGGUCAACCUCUUGCGUAAGUGAACAAGCGACAGGGACGGAACCCGAAGAGGCAGAACCGGAUACAUACGGGCGAGCCGCCGCGGUAAUACUGGGACGAGCAUACGCAUGCAC
RNAcentral lists this ribosomal RNA (507 nucleotides) under uncultured bacterium. Its description in RNAcentral is "partial 16S ribosomal RNA". It matches the Rfam family "Bacterial small subunit ribosomal RNA", at positions 33 to 541 of the family's 1533-position model. The record is from RNAcentral.